RNAcentral lists this ribosomal RNA (406 nucleotides) under uncultured bacterium. RNAcentral describes it as "partial 16S ribosomal RNA". It matches the Rfam family "Bacterial small subunit ribosomal RNA", at positions 29 to 526 of the family's 1533-position model. The record is from RNAcentral.
AUUGAACGCUGGCGGCAGGCCUAACACAUGCAAGUCGAACGAGUGGCGGACGGGUGAGUAAUGUCUGGGAAACUGCCUGAUGGAGGGGGAUAACUACUGGAAACGGUAGCUAAUACCGCAUACCAUCAGAUGUGCCCAGAUGGGAUUAGCUUGUUGGUGGGGUAACGGCUCACCAAGGCGACGAUCCCUAGCUGGUCUGAGAGGAUGACCAGCCAGACUGGAACGGAGACACGGUCCAGACUCCGACGGGAGGCAGCAGGGGGGAAGAUGGCACAAGGGGCGCAAGCCGGAUGCAGCCAGGCCGCGUGUAUGAAGAAGGCCUGCGGGUUGUAAAGUACGGUCAGCGGGGAGGCGUUACCCGAAGAAGAAGCACCGGCUAACUCCGUGCCAGCAGCCGCGGUAAUUC